AGAGAAUUGACUGAGUGGUUUAAGGUGAUAAGCUUGAGACUUAUUUGAUUUAAUAAUCACAUCCGUUCAAAUCGGAUAUUCUCUG
This 85-nucleotide transfer RNA is filed under the name Onygena corvina. RNAcentral's name for it is "tRNA-Ser". The record is from RNAcentral. Lineage: Eukaryota; Fungi; Ascomycota; Eurotiomycetes; Onygenales; Onygenaceae.